RNAcentral lists this unclassified non-coding RNA (138 nucleotides) under soil metagenome. RNAcentral describes it as "partial internal transcribed spacer 1". The record is from RNAcentral.
CCUAGAGUUGUAGGCUUUGCCUGCUAUCUCUUACCCAUGUCUUUUGAGUACCUUCGUUUCCUCGGCGGGUCCGCCCGCCGAUUGGACAACUUAAACCCUUUGCAGUUGCAAUCAGCGUCUGAAAAAACUUAAUAGUUA